This 317-nucleotide RNase P RNA is filed under the name human gut metagenome. RNAcentral's name for it is "Bacterial RNase P class A". It matches the Rfam family "Bacterial RNase P class A". From Rfam's summary of the family: Ribonuclease P (RNase P) is a ubiquitous endoribonuclease, found in archaea, bacteria and eukarya as well as chloroplasts and mitochondria. RNAcentral also lists the same sequence under 1 other name. The record is from RNAcentral.
GUUAGCCGGAUAAUCGCGUGAAAUAUUGAGGAAAGUCCGGGCAUCUACGGGAAAUGGUGCUGGAUAACGUCCAGUGGAGGCGACUCUAAGGAAAGUGCAACAGAAAUAAACCGCAUACCUUGGUAUGUAAGGAUGGAAAGGCGAGGUAAGAGCUCACCGCUUUCUCGGUGACGAGAAGGGCAAUGUAAACCCCACCUGAUGCAAGAUGUGAGAACGUUAAACUCCCGUUAGUUCUCCUAUAUCGCUUGAGGUUGUCGGUAACGGCAAUCCUAGAUAGAUGAUUAUCUAAAACAGAACUCGGCUUACAGACUAACUCA